This is a non-coding RNA of Amphimedon queenslandica, 72 nucleotides long. NCBI's taxonomy places the organism in Eukaryota, Metazoa, Porifera, Demospongiae, Haplosclerida, Niphatidae. The record is from Rfam.
AUCUCCGUAGUCUAAUGGCAAGGACACCGGGUUUUCAACCUGAAGAUAAGAGUUUGAUUCUCUUUGGGGAUG